This 120-nucleotide ribosomal RNA is filed under the name uncultured bacterium. RNAcentral describes it as "partial 16S ribosomal RNA". It matches the Rfam family "Bacterial small subunit ribosomal RNA", at positions 215 to 334 of the family's 1533-position model. The record is from RNAcentral.
GGGGAGGACGAGGGGCUCGCGGCCUAUCAGCUAGUUGGUGCGGUAACGGCGCACCAAGGCGACGACGGGUAGCUGGUCUGAGAGGAUGGCCAGCCACAUUGGGACUGAGAGACGGCCCAG